Molecule: unclassified non-coding RNA, 261 nt
Filed under: Hevea brasiliensis (rubber tree)
Lineage: Eukaryota; Viridiplantae; Streptophyta; Magnoliopsida; Malpighiales; Euphorbiaceae
Source: RNAcentral
UGGGAUCUUCACUUACGGUCUUUGUCAGGCCAUGUGGAUCUCUCCAGUAUAUAUUUGGUUGGAAAGCUAAAGAAUCAGCAGCUUGUAUCUGAGUUACCCGGAAGCCUGAUUGAGCUCACCUUGUCAGCAUCUGGACUGGUAGAGGACCCAAUGCAAACAUUGGACAAACUUCCCAACCUCAGAAUUCUGAGACUGUUCUCAAGAUCCUUUAUGGGCAAGAAAAUGCUUUGCUGUUUUGGAGGAUUUCCUAAGCUUGAAGUC